UAAAAGUAAAAACAUAGUUCGGUUGGUAGUCCGGACAUAAUAGUUAACUAUUAUCAGUAACCUGCCUCCUUGGUUGUCCAUCUUUUAUAAUUA
This 93-nucleotide non-coding RNA is filed under the name Latilactobacillus sakei. RNAcentral describes it as "yjdF RNA". It matches the Rfam family "azaaromatic riboswitch aptamer (yjdF RNA)". The record is from RNAcentral. Lineage: Bacteria; Bacillati; Bacillota; Bacilli; Lactobacillales; Lactobacillaceae.